This 1285-nucleotide unclassified non-coding RNA is filed under the name Leishmania donovani. Its description in RNAcentral is "gene:LdHU3.17.2060(CDS-product:otubain_cysteine_p eptidase_Clan_CA_family_C65_putative)". Lineage: Eukaryota; Euglenozoa; Kinetoplastea; Trypanosomatida; Trypanosomatidae. The record is from RNAcentral.
CGACGCUACAUGUUUGUACGUCAGAUCAGUUCAUUUCGAACUUCUGUGCGAGCUGCUCCCUUUCUCCAAACCCACUCCCCCUCUCUCUCAAAGACACACACACACACACACACACACACUCUGCCCACUUCAGCGUCGCUGCAGUGCUUUCGUUUUCCGUCUCUUGGUUUGUAAAUUCGUCAAUCAUGGAUGAGGGACUGCCAAUCGACGCGAGCGAGGCACAGCUCGAAGCUAUCCGGAGGGAGGUGGCGCACUACCCGUUACUGUCGCUCUCGCUGCCGCUCAACAAGGAGUCGAUGAUUGUGAAGGAGAUGGAGCACGACGACGCCUACCUUGCCCAAACGCUGUCGCUCUUUGGGGCCUCACCGGUUUCCACAAAGCAGUACGACUUCGACAGCAUACGCUACUCGCGCCGCGACGGCAACUGCUUCUACCGCUGCGCCGGCUUUCGCCUGUGCGAGCUCAUCGUCGAACACCCGGAUAGGGCGGCGGAGUAUGUGGCGCUGCUCAAAUCGCGAGAGGAGAGCCUCUCCAGGUUGUUCGGCCUCUUCGUGUUCGAUUUCACGGAUGCCUUGGCGGAGAUCCUGAAGGGUGUGGCAGACAAGACGAUCACUUCCGUCGCACAAGUCUACAAUCGCUUCAUCUCCGACGACGGCGCCUACGUUCUGGCGGCGCUACGCUACUUGAUCUCCGCUUACCUGCAAGAGCACGAGGAGGAGUACGAGCCUUUCGUCAGCGGACUUGGCUACGGCACGGUGCGCGACUACUGCAACGCCGAGGUGGAGCUGGUGGAUCACGAGAGCGACAAUGUGCAGCUGGCCGCCUUUGCAAAGGCCUUCAACGUCUGCAUCAAGGUCUACGCGCUGGACCGAAAUGCAGGUAACAAUAUCACCGAGUACUCCUUCAACGGCGAGGACAACGACGCUGGAGACCGACUGGUGGUGGGCCUGCUUUACAUGCCCGGCCACUACAACCUUCUCGGGCGGGGACCCGGGUGACAGCAGAGGCAGCAGAUGUGAGCGGAUGCAGUCAGUCAGAGGUGAAGAAGGCGGCGGUUGUCGGCACGCUUUCGUUUCGUGCCGGCAUGCAUCUCGAUGAACACGCAUCGAGAUAUCUGCACUGCGUUCGCCGCACAGCUCGUACCUGCCAAGGUUGCUUGCGUUUGCCGACGUGUAAGUGUGUGCACUGGGUGCUCAGUGCACGACUAUUCUGCACUAUGUGUUCUCGUUGCCGUAUUGGCUCCGCAACUGGCGCUUAUAGUCCACGUACGCAUGUGACGCGAAGC